UACAGAGGGUGCAAGCGUUAAUCGGAAUUACUGGGCGUAAAGCGUGCGUAGGUGGUUCUUUAAGUCAGGUGUGAAAUCCCCGGGCUCAACCUGGGAACUGCAUUUGAUACUGAAGAGCUAGAGUGUGGUAGAGGAUAGUGGAAUUCCCGGUGUAGCGGUGAAAUGCGUAGAUAUCGGGAGGAACAUCAGUGGCGAAGGCGGCUAUCUGGACCAACACUGACACUGAGGCACGAAGGCCAGGGGAGCAAACGGG
Molecule: ribosomal RNA, 253 nt
Filed under: uncultured bacterium
Lineage: Bacteria
Description: partial 16S ribosomal RNA
Rfam family: Bacterial small subunit ribosomal RNA
Source: RNAcentral